GACGUAGGGCGCAAGCGUUGUCCGGAUUUAUUGGGCGUAAAGAGCUCGUAGGCGGCUUGUCGCGUCGGCUGUGAAAACCCGCGGCUCAACCGCGGGCCUGCAGCCGAUACGGGCAGGCUAGAGUUCGGUAGGGGAGACUGGAAUUCCUGGUGUAGCGGUGAAAUGCGUAGAUAUCUGGAGGAACACCGGUGGCGAAGGCGGCAUCCUGGACCGGUAUUGACGCUGAUGCGCGAAAGCCAGGGGAGCAAACGGG
This 253-nucleotide ribosomal RNA is filed under the name uncultured bacterium. RNAcentral describes it as "partial 16S ribosomal RNA". It matches the Rfam family "Bacterial small subunit ribosomal RNA", at positions 524 to 776 of the family's 1533-position model. The record is from RNAcentral.